GACAGAGGAUGCAAGCGUUAUCCGGAAUGAUUGGGCGUAAAGCGUCUGUAGGUGGCUUUUAAGUCCGCCGUCAAAUCCCAGGCUCAACCCUGGACAGGCGGUGGAAACUACCAAGCUGGAGUACGGUAGGGGCAGAGGGAAUUUCCGGUGGAGCGGUGAAAUGACGUAGAGAUCGGAAAGAACACCAACGGCGAAAGCAACUCUGCUGGGCCGACACUGACACUGAGAGACGAAAGCUAGGGGAGCGAAUGGG
RNAcentral lists this ribosomal RNA (253 nucleotides) under uncultured bacterium. Its description in RNAcentral is "partial 16S ribosomal RNA". It matches the Rfam family "Bacterial small subunit ribosomal RNA", at positions 524 to 776 of the family's 1533-position model. The record is from RNAcentral.